This is an unclassified non-coding RNA of Actinia tenebrosa (Australian red waratah sea anemone), 3042 nucleotides long. NCBI's taxonomy places the organism in Eukaryota, Metazoa, Cnidaria, Anthozoa, Actiniaria, Actiniidae. The record is from RefSeq and is a predicted model, not a curated record.
CAUUUUGCUUCACAAGCUUGACAACAAGARUCUAAAAACAAUAGUUAUAUUUUACCAAUAAUAAGACAUUAUCGUUUUAGGAAUUGAAUUUUAUGAUGGCUUCAAGCAACGUAAAGGCUCGAUGUUCAAAAUGCGAUGAAAUUCAACGAUUAUACCUCGCAGUUCUUGAAGACAAACAAGCCAUUCUCGUCAGACUUCAAGAGGAGCAAGAACGUGUUAAAAAGCUUUCUAAGGAAAUUGAACCCACUGAAAGAAAGAGAAGACAAGAAGGAGAAAGAACAAGAACGGAAGAGAGUACAAAUAUCAGUAUGGCAAUGGCAGUAAAUAGAAAAUGGAAAGAAGAAUAUGAACAAUUAAGAGAGAAAUAUAAAACAGACUUUAGAAAGCUUCAAGAGGAAAUCAGUUCUCUCAAUCACAAACUAGAGGAAUCUAAUAUACAUGUAUUGACACUUGAAGCUGAAAACAUGAGACUUGCACAGGCAUUAUCUGGAGAAGAUGUCAGUACAGGAACAAAAAGAAAUAAUGAAGAGAAUGAACUUAUUAAAGCUCAAAUGCAAGCAUACAAAGAUGAUUUCUCAUUUGAAAGAAGAGAUAGAGAAAAAGCCCAGAGUGAAAAAGAAAGUAUUCAAGAGGAAUUGAAAAGUGCACAGGAGAUCAUUGCAACAUUAGUGAAAGAGAUUGAAGUGUUCAAAGUAGAGCACAAGAAAGAUCAAGAGCAAAUGAGACAGAUUAUCAAUCAACAAAACUUGGCUCGACCACAGCUUCAAAUAAUCUAUCCAGUUGUUGAUCCAAGUGAACACGAACAACAUACACAGUGGAGAAGACAACAACAGAGAAGGGUGCCAUAGUACACAAUUAUUUGGUGCACUGUACGUUAUGUGAUUUAUGGAGUACCAGUACACUGUUAGAGCUCUUUCAUGCCGUACACCACUGUGCACAGAAUGUCAUUGUGUCUUUUGGUGCCACUUCUCAGUGAGUCUUCUAACAAUGAUUAUAAAAUGGGUAUAUUAUCAAGAGGAAGUCAUAUAGCACCACCUAGUGCAUUUUAUGGAGGUGAUGUAGAGGUUGAUCAGGCAGAUGGUCCCAAGAGUGAACACAAUUAGUGUGGGAGAAUCAUUUAAAUAUGAUAUACACCUAUUUCAAGAAAACAUUGUCACCACCAAAGGUGAUAGGCGAUAGGUCAUUCUGACAUGGAAAUGGUCUCGUUGAAUAAAAACAAUAUUGAAUCAGUUUCAAUGCUAAGGUCCAUAUUCUUGACAAUAAUGAGAGUCAUUCCAGCUAUUUCUGGAUCUUGGAAAGGACUUGUCUCCUAUUGCUUUUCACCUAUUGCCUAUCACCUUUGGCUGUGACAACCUUUUUUGAUAUAGAUAUAUAUUUUGAUGUUAAUGGAAUGCAUGCAUAGUUCCUAAAGCAGUUUUGAAUCUCCAGCCACCAUUGAGGCAUCUUUCAAAUAUGGUGAAAUCUAGUUUUAAUGGAAGUGUAAUCAGUCUGAAGUAUAUGUAAUAAGACUGAAAAGAAGAGUUAAAAGUCUACAAAGACAUCUAGAUAUCUCAAUAUGUUAUUUGUCAAUUGGAAUAUAGUAUAAACAUCGAUAUUUCAAUUGCCAAACCAUUAAGAAAUAAUGGAAUGCAUAUUACUAUAGUACAAAGCAUAUUUAUUGUUUAAAAUAUAUAGCCUUCAACAAAUACUAUAACUACAAAGAUUAGAAAAACAAACAUUAAAGCAAUUAAGAGAUAUAGUUGUUUUGAUUAUAGUAAGUUGUUUUUGUAAGGUAUAAAUCCCUAACUUGUAUUCUUUUAUACGUACGCCAUAAUGACAAUUACAUAUUCAGUGGAAACGAAACAAAAACAACUUACUAUGAUUACAAAAUCUUUUGAAGUCUCGGCUAAAACAAUUUCAGAAAGUUGUUCUGAUUCAUCAAACAAAAUAAGACAUUUGCAUGAUGGCAUCAUUUGACUCCCACUACCUAAUGCUUUGCGAAUUUUCUUUCUUUUUUAAAUUUGUAUUCCGUCAUGAGAAUAGUAAGACAAUAAUAAUGAAUUGGUUAUUGGUGCUCAUUAAUUGAACAAAAGAAAGUGUGCAAGGGAGUCUGACGUCAUGACGCCAUCAUGCAAACAUCCUAUUUGAAUGUUUAGAACAUUUUUAUUAAAAUUAGUAAUAUUAUGUAAAGGAUCAAACACUAGGGCAAGGGCAUUCUUAAGAAUAAAGGCCGAGACUGAGGCCUUUAUUUUWAAAAAUGCCUUGCCCGUGUGUUUGAUAGGAUUUAAUAACCAGCCCCAAUCCGUAAUUUAGGAACAAUGGAUUUCAUAUUGAUUUGAUAUGAAUGUCCCCUCCACAGGUCUAUAUUUUUGAAAUAUAGACCUGUACCGAGACAUUAUUGAGGAAAACAACUGCAUUACACAAUGGGAUCGGUUGUGGCUGGUUGUUAAAUAUCGUUUAUAUUGUAUAUAUUAUACACAAAGUUUAGAACUGUGUUAUCUUGGACAUUGCCACUUCAUAAAUAAUGUGGAUGGAUCAAAAAAUAUCCAUAAAUCCGAAGGUUGCUAUAAUUUGAUAUAUUAUAUUUUCUUUAAUUUAUUUAACAACAACUCCUUAUAAUAAGUACUAUAAUGCAUGCACUAUAUAUAAGUAAGUAAAUAACAAAGAGGAAAUUUAUUACACACAAGUAUCUAAGGAAUAAAACCCUUAUGGAACAGAAAAGACUGUGGCAGGUUACGUUACAGCCAUACUAUUAUGAAAUAAAAAUAAAARUAUAAUAAUGAUAAUAAUAAUAAUAAUGACUUUAUUUAACGAGGUUAAACACAUUACAGUCAGAGACUAAUAAACUUGUGGACUGCCCAGGUCGCAACUUAAAUUAGUGCUAAAUUAUGCAAAUAUUGUCUUCUAUGGUUUAGAGUGAUUGCACUUGGCCAGUGAUACAAAGUUAUAGCUGACUUGUCAGAGCCUCGCUCUAUAAUUAGGACUAUUUAGUAUAGUGCAAAGUGUUGCAUACUUAGUGUAAAAUUUACUUUGAUUUUAGUAAAACCAUAUAUUUUUUCUCAA